GGAAAAGAGGCAUUCCAUGCACAAUGGCUGCUACUGAAAACCCUGCUUUCCCCAUUUGGCCAGAAGAUCAUUUUUCCUGGCUCCAAGAAAAAAGAAAUUAAUAUGGAAUCCCAUUCCCUCUUUAUCUGGCAGAGACAGUUCCAGUUACUCCUCAUUCAUUCCACUUUUCAGUAUCACAAGCUCUUCUUCGAAAUUCCACACAUAAAAUGCCAUUUGACAUUGCAAAGACCUGGGAAUUCUGCAGCAGAUCUUUCCUUUGAUCGUCUAAAUUGACAAAUAAUGAGUAACAGGUUCUUUCAGUGAUAGA
This is a long non-coding RNA of Sceloporus undulatus (fence lizard), 307 nucleotides long. RefSeq lists it as uncharacterized. The transcript is spliced from 3 exons. Lineage: Eukaryota; Metazoa; Chordata; Lepidosauria; Squamata; Phrynosomatidae. The record is from RefSeq and is a predicted model, not a curated record.